Molecule: long non-coding RNA, 581 nt
Filed under: Amborella trichopoda
Lineage: Eukaryota; Viridiplantae; Streptophyta; Magnoliopsida; Amborellales; Amborellaceae
Description: long non-coding RNA (ATRI_LNC002759)
Source: RNAcentral
ACAAGACUUGGCUACCACUGGCUUUGCUCGUUGGUUACCGUUUGAAUCUUAAGUAGGGGGGGGCAAGGCAAGGAGGAGCACGUAGGAAUGCCGACCACUACAUAAGCCACUAGUGGCUGAGAAAAAGUGAGCUUCAGCGAGCAGCGAGUGGAAUCUCUUACUUCGGAAAGAUUGAGCAGUAUUCAAUUAUGAUGACCUAGUCGAGAGAGUACGAUACAUCGAAGUAAAAGAUUGAGUGGGAUUAGUGAGGUUGGUUAUAGCAAGGGCUGGCCUGAAGUGCGUGGCUUACGAAAAGGUAAGCGGUUAGGUUGACUCUGUCCCCAUUUUUUGCUUCUUAUGAAUCUGCCCAUUUUGAUUCUCCGCAGAAUUUCUGUUUCGCAGCCACUAAGGUUCCUUUCGGUCCUCUUCCCCAUGGGUCUUGUAUAUGAACGUGAGAGCAAAGCAGGGCAUCAAAAAUCCUUCUAUUCCAAUAGGCCGAGUGAACAGCAUGUGUCCUGCCUCCGGAGAAUCACGCCUAUCGAAUGAAUGAUUGAAGAAAGAAAUGAACAAAGUUCAUAGUUCUUUCGACACGCCUCUUAGCU